AGAGUUUGAUCAUGGCUCAGAACGAACGCUGGCGGCGUACCUAACACAUGCAAGUCGUACGAGAAAUUCCGAUUCGUCGGGAGAGUAAAGUGGCGAACGGGUGAGUAACACUAGGGUAAUCUCCCCUUAAAUAAGGGAUAACGUUGCGAAAGCGACGCUAAUACCUUAUAAGACUACGAUCUCUUAGGAGAUAGUAGGAAAAGAUGGCCUCUGUUUCAAGCUAUCGUUUAAGGAUGAGCCCUAGCACUAUUAGCUAGUUGGUGAGGUAAUGGCUCACCAAGGCGACGAUGGUUAGCUGGUCUGAGAGGAUGACCAGCCACACUGGAACUGAGACACGGCCCAGACUCCUACGGGAGGCAGCAGUGAGGAAUAUUGCGCAAUGGGGGCAACCCUGACGCAGUGACGCCGCGUGAGUGAUGAAGGCUUUCGAGUCGUAAAGCUCUGUUAGGUGGAAAGAAACAUUCCGGCGCUAAUAUCGCCGGGACUUGACGGUACCACCAGAGGAAGCACCGGCUAACUCCGUGCCAGCAGCCGCGGUAAUACGGAGGGUGCAAGCGUUGUUCGGAUUUACUGGGCGUAAAGGGCGUGUAGGCGGUUGGCUAAGUCAGAUGUGAAAUCCCUUGGCUUAACUAAGGAACGGCAUUUGAAACUAGCUAACUAGAGUACAGGAGAGGAAAGUGGAAUUCCCAGUGUAGAGGUGAAAUUCAUAGAUAUUGGGAGGAACACCGGUAGCGAAGGCGGCUUUCUGGCCUGAUACUGACGCUGAGACGCGAAAGCGUGGGUAGCAAACAGGAUUAGAUACCCUGGUAGUCCACGCCGUAAACGAUGGGAACUAGGUGUAGGAAGUGUUGACCCUUUCUGUGCCGAAGCUAACGCAUUAAGUUCCCCGCCUGGGGAGUACGGUCGCAAGGCUAAAACUCAAAGGAAUUGACGGGGGCCCGCACAAGCGGUGGAGCAUG
This 959-nucleotide ribosomal RNA is filed under the name uncultured delta proteobacterium. RNAcentral's name for it is "bacterial SSU rRNA". It matches the Rfam family "Bacterial small subunit ribosomal RNA", at positions 8 to 941 of the family's 1533-position model. The record is from RNAcentral. Lineage: Bacteria; Deltaproteobacteria.